RNAcentral lists this transfer RNA (76 nucleotides) under Bilophila wadsworthia. Its description in RNAcentral is "tRNA-Lys". It matches the Rfam family "tRNA". Rfam says of the family: Transfer RNA (tRNA) molecules are approximately 80 nucleotides in length. Their secondary structure includes four short double-helical elements and three loops (D, anti-codon, and T loops). RNAcentral also lists the same sequence under 1 other name. The record is from RNAcentral. Lineage: Bacteria; Pseudomonadati; Thermodesulfobacteriota; Desulfovibrionia; Desulfovibrionales; Desulfovibrionaceae.
GGGUCCGUAGCUCUAACGUCAGAGCACCCGGCCUUUAACCGGGGGGUUCCGGGUUCGAGUCCCGGCGGACCCACCA